Molecule: ribosomal RNA, 320 nt
Filed under: uncultured eukaryote
Lineage: Eukaryota
Description: partial 18S ribosomal RNA
Rfam family: Eukaryotic small subunit ribosomal RNA
Source: RNAcentral
CCCCUAGAUGUUCUGGGCCGCACGCGCGCUACACUGAACAGUUCAACAAGUCUUAACCUUGGCCGAUAGGUCUGGGUAAUCUUUGAACGCUGUUCGUGAUUGGGAUAGACCUUUGCAAUUAUGGGUCUUCAACGAGGAUUUCCUAGUAAACGCAAGUCAUCAGCUUGCAUUGAUUACGUCCCUGCCCUUUGUACACACCGCCCGUCGCACCUACCGAUUGAAUGGUCCGGUGAAAUCUCGGGACGGCGGCUUGGUCGCUUGCGUCCGACUGCUGAAACUUGAUUAAACCAUAUCAUUUAGAGGAAGGUGAAGUCGUANCA